RNAcentral lists this unclassified non-coding RNA (200 nucleotides) under Pleosporales sp. RNAcentral's name for it is "partial internal transcribed spacer 2". Lineage: Eukaryota; Fungi; Ascomycota; Dothideomycetes; Pleosporales. The record is from RNAcentral.
UUAAGUUCAGCGGGUAUCCCUACCUGAUCCGAGGUCAAAAGUGAGAAAGAGGCUUUAUGGUUGCCGUUGCUGAGGGACUAAGACGCAAAAUGUGCUGCGCUUACUACCAAAACACUGGCUGCCAAUUACUUUGAGGCGAGUCUUUGUGAAAAGACAAAACGCCCAACACAAGCAAAGCUUGAGGGUACAAAUGACGCUCG